GGUGAUAAUUAUUUAAAAGUAGUUUAGUAGAAUAGUAAUUGUUAUUCAACUUUAUAAUUAAAAAUGAAAAUGUAGUAAGAAUAUAGGUAGCACUUUUUUUCAUUAUCACCAUUAGAAGUCUAAUUGAAAUCCUCUUAAUGAUGUUUUAAAAAGUUAUUUCAUAUAUAUCAAGAGAAAAUAUCAUCUUAAUAUAUUCUUUUUGACUAGAUAUGUAUAGUACACUUUCAAAAAUCUCUUUAAAUUGACCUAAAUCCACUAUGUAAAAUAUUUUAUUUACUUAAUAUGUAUGGCACUAAAUGUAUACUUUGCUAAAUGACCAAGUAAGAAAAACAAUUAAAAAUCAAACUGCUGACUUUAAUAAUUUUACUUAAGUAUAGAAAAAGAGAAAACACAACAUUUUAAUUUUACAGAAAACCAUUUGAUAUAAGUGUGAUUCUUUCAUACUCAGGUAGAAACUACUUGUCAAGAAGUCAGAUGCUAUGUUAGGAUUUUAUUGUGUUUUUAAAAAAUAACUUGUAAAUAGAAAUAUAAGCUGCUUUACUCUGUCCAUUAAAUACUAGAAUAUAUACCUAAUAUUUAAAUGCAUAUCCCGUUCAUAUCUAUUGUUUCUACAAAAUUUUCAAUAGAGCCUUAAAGCUGUUGAAUACAGGUUUAAUUCCAAAUUUCAUUUCUUUCUGAAUUGCACCAUCCUUCAGCAAUGCAUCAUCAUCACAGGUCAUUGCACCGAUGAAAUUAAUCUGAUAAAACACCUGUGUGACAGAGAAAAUGAUAUAUUAGUGUGAUUCAUCAUUAAUGUACAUCAUCAGCCCAUGAUCUAUUAGUGUAUUGCUCAAAGGAUUGUGUCAUUAGGAAAGAGUGAGUUCCUAGUGUUAAAUUAUGGUGUUGAAGGCAGUAGUUAGAGCCUAGUAUAACCCAGGAGGCAAAAAGUAGAUGUGCUAAUACAAAAUCAAGUUCUCUGAACUUUCUUUCUUUUUUUUUUUUUUUGGCUUUAAAGUGUCAGAUUUGAAUUUUUGCUAAUAAGGUUUUACUUCUUUAAGGUGAAAUUAAGUUUGCCCUUAUUACUCAUCUAAUAUUAAUUGCAUACCCAUCCUCUAUAAAUGAUAUCAUUUAUAAGGCUGACUUGCAUCACCGGUGAGAAAUGUAAUUUUAUUUGAAAAUGAAACACAUAAGAAUUUAAAAUAUCUGAAAAAAUAACUCUGCAGGGUUGUUUUUCCAUAAAUGUGCUAGAAAUUAUACCUUACCUGAUUAGCUCAUGAUAUUGAGCUUAGAGAUUAGAAAUUGCCCUGAAAUGCCUUUGUUAAAGUAAUCCAACCUGGAAAUUUAAGAUUAUUUUAUUUAAGAUUAAAGAUAAGAAUAAAAGUAAGAUAAAAACAUAACUGCAAAAUAGGCAGUGAAUCUUAAGAAUUCAGAAUUUUAAUAAAUUAUUUUUUAGUAUAAACUUGAUGAGUUUGCUCUUCUAAAUUAAAAUAACCUUAAAUAUAGUAACUUUAUUAUUUUGAAAACAUAUUAAAAACAUUCCUUUCUCAAGAAUGUUUGCUUAGCGAGGCAAAGGGCUUUAUCUGUUUAAUCAUUGUUAUCCACUAGAUAUAGAAUAGAGAGCAGCAAAUGUUAGGCCCUCAAUUUGUUCUCUAAUUAAUUAAUUAACUCAAUUAACUUAAUAACAUUAUGUAACAGAUUCAGACUCCUUAGGUCAUGUAUGCAUUUAAAUAACUUCUGUAUAUACAUGGUUUGAACUACGAUUUAAAUAAUUCUAUUUCAAAUAUUAAAAGUACCAUGGUGAUAUUGUCAUUAAUUUUCAUAUCUAUAUCCAAAGAUAAACUUGCUUAUAUUUUUUCAUUGUAGUUUUAUAGAUUAAGAAACUACCACAUAGUCCAUAAAUGCAUAGUGUGAGUAAAAUUUUUAUUAAGAUGACUCAUAGUAUAAGCAAGAACUAUUAACUAAACUCAUUGGGACUUUCAGUCCAGACAAGAUGAAACAGCCCCAUUUUCUGUUUUCCCCUCAUUAAUUUCAAUUAUAAAGCCUUGGAAUAAUGCCAGGGGUAAGCAAAGGAAAGGAUUCAAAGCUGCUAAGAAGGAGGCUAAGUAGUUUGGGAUCCCCAGAUUGGAAGAAGAACACAGUGGCUAGUGGUAUUAUGGCCUCCAUUCACCAGAAAGAAACCUUGACCCAGCAUUUCCCCUACUCUCAACCUAGCAGCAGAAGACAUCCUGAGUAGGUCCAUUCUUCCACAGAGCAAAUGGUAGCCCUGCCAAAGACUCCAGGUGAGCCUGUAGAUCAUCAAGAGAUCUUUUAAUAGUAAGUGACCAGGGAAGGCCACCUCCUUCUCCACAAAGCCUGAAAAUCCCCUCUUGGUGGGAUAAUACCAAGAGAGAUAGCACUGCCAAGAGAGAUAACAACAAGCACUCUAGUCUGGGAAGCCUCAUUAAUCUCUGAUUCUUCCUUCCAACCUCUCAUCAGGAGACAUAGGAUAUGCAGGAGGAAGCCUGGGAAAAAAACAGGACAAAUAGCCCAACCUGAAAGUGUUCUCCAUCCCUUACAAGCAGGAGGAAUUCCAUUCUGAGUACCUGGCCAGGGAAGCCCUCACCAGCCUGAUACUCCCUUCCCUUAGGGAAGGCACCAAGAAUGCUGACAACAUAGAAAAUAUACAAGGCCAAGCAUCUAUGAAUUUAACAUACAGUGUGAAGUGGAAUGAAGGUGCUCAAGAUGUGAACUCUGUCCUUCUAACAUCCAGAAGAGUCAACAGCCUCAGGAGGAAGUAGAACCCUGUGGACCAAUGGGGAUGGUCUGGGGAAGAACCAAAACUGGCUUUUGGAGCAGGCUGUUUCCAUUCUGCUUUCUUAAGCAGACCUGAAGUAAGAUGUGAUUGUGAUGCCGUUAUGAUUCUGAAGGCAGUGUACAGGAUAGUGCCUUAUAGAACCAUGUGGAGUCACAUGUAGGCUUUCAGCUGGAAAAAUUGAACUGACUUGAUUCUACUUGAUGCAUCUCCUUGGGAAAGACAGCCAGGCUUGGUCUCAGGAUGAAAGCAUGAGAGCCACAGAAAAAGUGGAAUGAAUCAUGCAAGACCUCUUAAUGGAUCUAGUCACAUGGAAAUGCAAAAAAGGAAAAAUGGCAAAAAAGGAAAAAAGAGCUAUGGUUUCAAGCUCUAUACAUUGAUGUUAAUCUUUCAUUUCCUUGGGAAGCUUUCAAAAUUAUCUGCGAAAGCCACAUAUCAAGGAAAGAAUCUGGACUUCAUAGCCAUUAAAAAGCAUAUCCUCAAGUAAGAAAUAUGCAGAAGCAUGAAACUAUUGGUGGGAAUGCAAGCUAGUACGGCCAUUCUGGAAAACAGUAUGGAGGUUCCUCAAAAAGUUGAAAAUAGAGCUACCCUACGACCCAGCAAUUGAGCUACUAGGUAUUUACCCA
Long non-coding RNA from Felis catus (domestic cat), 3396 nucleotides. RefSeq lists it as uncharacterized. The transcript has 7 exons. The record is from RefSeq and is a predicted model, not a curated record. NCBI's taxonomy places the organism in Eukaryota, Metazoa, Chordata, Mammalia, Carnivora, Felidae.